UCGGGAUGACGUCAAAUCAUCAUGCCCCUUAUGACCUGGGCUACACACGUGCUACAAUGGUUGGUACAACGAGUUGCGAGUCGGUGACGGCGAGCUAAUCUCUUAAAAGCCAAUCUCAGUUCGGAUUGUAGGCUGCAACUCGCCUACAUGAAGUCGGAAUCGCUAGUAAUCGCGGAUCAGCACGCCGCGGUCGAAUACGUUCCCGGGCCUU
RNAcentral lists this ribosomal RNA (211 nucleotides) under uncultured Streptococcus sp. RNAcentral describes it as "partial 16S ribosomal RNA". It matches the Rfam family "Bacterial small subunit ribosomal RNA", at positions 1174 to 1382 of the family's 1533-position model. The record is from RNAcentral. Lineage: Bacteria; Bacillati; Bacillota; Bacilli; Lactobacillales; Streptococcaceae.